AUUGAACGCUGGCGGCAUGCUUUACACAUGCAAGUCGAACGGCAGCGCGGGCUUCGGCCUGGCGGCGAGUGGCGAACGGGUGAGUAAUGCAUCGGAACGUGCCCAGUAGUGGGGGAUAGCCCAGCGAAAGCCGGAUUAAUACCGCAUACGACCUGAGGGUGAAAGCGGGGGACCGAAAGGCCUCGCGCUAUUGGAGCGGCCGAUGUCGGAUUAGCUAGUUGGUGGGGUAAAGGCUUACCAAGGCGACGAUCCGUAGCUGGUCUGAGAGGACGACCAGCCACACUGGGACUGAGACACGGCCCAGACUCCUACGGGAGGCAGCAGUGGGGAAUUUUGGACAAAGGGGGCAACCCUGAUCCAGCCAUGCCGCGUGCGGGAAGAAGGCCUUCGGGUUGUAAACCGCUUUUGUUCGGGAAGAAAUCCUCUGGGCUAAUACCCCGGGGGGAUGACGGUACCGGAAGAAUAAGCACCGGCUAACUACGUG
This 484-nucleotide ribosomal RNA is filed under the name uncultured bacterium. RNAcentral describes it as "partial 16S ribosomal RNA". It matches the Rfam family "Bacterial small subunit ribosomal RNA", at positions 29 to 507 of the family's 1533-position model. The record is from RNAcentral.